UGUCUCAUUCACUCUUAUCAAGUCCGGAUUCUUAGUAUCAACCAGAUUCGAAAGCUCGAAUCAGAAUUGACUCCCAUUCCCAUGGCCGAAGCUAGGUCAUGGCAUGGACAAUAAUGUGGCCCGCAUUUUCAAGUUGCACAAGUCACGGUCAUGGGAUACUGGCCACAGGCUAUUGGGGCUAUCGGUGAUCAUUAGCUGAAAAUUACAUCCAGCAACUUUCUAGGAAUCUAUACGUAUAAAGAAAAGGUGAUGCUUUGGAAUACACCCAUCUACUAAUUUUUAGAAUCCUUAUCAUCCAGUCAAUCACCAAGAGAAAGUAAUAUCUAUGUUUGUGGAUUCUUCCCUUUGAGAACUAUUCCUCUAUGAGUGGUCCUCUCUCACAAGUUGGGGAAGGUGAUUAUCUUGGACUUUCUUAUGGUUUAAGGGCUUCUUUUUUUACCUACAAAUUGUUUAGAUAAUAUCAAUGACUUUAGUACUAGGAAUAUUAACUUGAUAUUGGAGAUUAAACACGUCUAACUGUUUGAAGAGAGAAGCAGAGAAUCUACAACUUUAGAGGGAGAAAAAAAAAGUCGGUUAAUCUACCUUGGCUGAAAAGUAAGAUUUUUUUUUGAGAGGGUGGGUGGAAUCUAGAACAAAGGGAAAUUCCAGGUAAUUGAAAGUAUAAGACAUAAAUGAUAGAUUUAGUUGCCUGAAUUAGGAUUGGUAUCUUUAGAAAACUUAUGUGGAGGAUAUGCAUGGGGAAUUGCUGCUUGUGUGAUUGAGAAGCCUCCAGCAGAACUGAUAAGCAUUGAUUGGAUAUAUUUGCUAUGUGAUUUUAGGUUGAGUUAAGUUUUGAGGCCAUGUAGAAGGUGCUUUCACACUUGAUAAUACUUCUGUGGCUUAUAUACGAAUUGGAUAAGAUAAUAUACUGCAGGCAUUGAUUAUAUCUGAUGUGAUAUUUGGAAGUAGAAAGUGAAGGACAAGAACUUACUAAUCAUUUUUUGAUUGCCACCAAUUUGAAAAUCUGUCCAUCUUUGAUCCAUCAGCAAAGAGUUUUUAAGUUUUUUUAACCAUCUUCUUGCCUUUAAAUGGCUGUUGGCGGCAGAAAACUUUCUACGUACGUACAUACAUACAUGUACAAUAUAAUAUUGUAUGUUUAGGAGACUGCAUGACAAGUCGCCGUACGUUGAUUCUAGUGUCAUACGGUUCAGUCGGAAAAGAACAAGAUAUCGUGGGGUAUGGAUUCUCUUUUCCUCGCAAUGAUAUUUUAUUGUCGUUCUUGUAAAAGUGAAGUCUAAAGUCAAACUUGUCGCAUUCGAGCUUGUUGAUUGCUUAGCCAUAAUCAAGUUUCAGAGCAGAGUUUUUACAUGUCAUUCUCUAGUUUGUCGAUUUACUUUUCUAUUGAAAGUAUUUACUGCCUACUACAAUGAUGUAAUCAAUGUGUAUUGAUUUGUUUGUUAUAUUAACUUGUGAGAAUCUUAUUGCUUUAA
Humulus lupulus (European hop) is the source of this 1469-nucleotide long non-coding RNA. RefSeq lists it as uncharacterized. NCBI's taxonomy places the organism in Eukaryota, Viridiplantae, Streptophyta, Magnoliopsida, Rosales, Cannabaceae. The transcript has 2 exons. The record is from RefSeq and is a predicted model, not a curated record.